AACAGCCAGGCUUGUUAUUCCUCACACAUUCUACAGGGAGGAGACUGUAGGACAACACAAUAACAUCUGCAGUAACAGCCAGGCUUGUUAUUCCUCACACAUUCUACAGGGAGGAGACUGUAGGACAACACAAUAACAUCUGCAGUAACAGCCAGGCUUGUUAUUCCCCACACAUUCUACAGGGAGGAGACUGUAGGACAACACAAUAACAUCUGCAGUAACAGCCAGGCUUGUUAUUCCCCACACAUUCUACAGGGAGGAGACUGUAGGACAACACAAUAACAUCUGCAGUAACAGCCAGGCUUGUUAUUCCCCACACAUUCUACAGGGAGGAGACUGUAGGACAACACAAUAACAUCUGCAGUAACAGCCAGGCUUGUUAUUCCCCACACAUUCUACAGGGAGGAGACUGAACAGGCUGGUGUUCUGGAUGACAGUACUAGUAUGUCCAUGUGUCCAUGCCCUCAGAGCUGCUCUCAAUAUGCAGAUACACACAAUAACCAGGGCUGUAGGUGUUCUGUCUACACUACCAGGCUGUAGGUGUUCUGUCUACACUACCAGGCUGUAGGUAUUCUGUCUACACUACCAGGGCUGUAGGUGUUCUGUCUACACUACCAGGCUGUAGGUGUUCUGUCUACACUACCAGGCUGUAGGUGUUCUGUCUACACUACCAGGGCUGUAGGUGUUCUGUCUACACUACCAGGGCUGUAGGUGUUCUGUCUACACUACCAGGCUGUAGGUGUUCUGUCUACACUACCAGGCUGUAGGUGUUCUGUCUACACUACCAGGCUGUAGGUGUUCUGUCUACACUACCAGGCUGUAGGUGUUCUGUCUACACUACCAGGCUGUAGGUGUUCUGUCUACACUACCAGGCUGUAGGUGUUCUGUCUACACUACCAGGCUGUAGGUGUUCUGUCUACACUACCAGGCUGUAGGUGUUCUGUCUACACUACCAGGGCUGUAGGUGUUCUGUCUACACUACCAGGGCUGUAGGUGUUCUGUCUACACUACCAGGGCUGUAGGUGUUCUGUCUACACUACCAGGCUGUAGGUGUUCUGUCUACACUACCAGGGCUGUAGGUGUUCUGUCUACACUACCAGGCUGUAGGUGUUCUGUCUACACUACCAGGCUGUAGGUGUUCUGUCUACACUACCAGGCUGUAGGUGUUCUGUCUACACUACCAGGCUGUAGGUGUUCUGUCUACACUACCAGGCUGUAGGUGUUCUGUCUACACUACCAGGGCUGUAGGUGUUCUGUCUACACUACCAGGCUGUAGGUGUUCUGUCUACACUACCAAUGACAGACUGUUUACCAGGAGUCUGAUCAGUACAGUCCAGGGACCGACUGUUGUUUACCAGGAGUCUGAUCAGUACAGUCCCGGAACAGACUGUUUACCAGGAGUCUGAUCAGUAUAGUCCCGGAACAGACUGUUUACCAGGAGUCUGAUCAGCAGGGUGCAAUGUUACAGGGUAUUGGGAUAGAAAUGUAUUGUGGAACUUAUAUGUUGUCUGUAAUGUCCAGUAGAAUAGAGCAUUUUAAAAUGUCAGCUCUAUGGCAUUUCUAUCUGCGCUGUUCCUCCACAGUGUUUGUCUGCUGAGCGUGGCCCUGGCAGAGAUCCAGUCUCUUUCACCCUGGUGUUUGGUGGGUCUUAUUGAAUCUGAAGUCAGGAAAUGUGCUGUACUUGGUGAUCACACCAGUGAAUGAAUGUUUUUCAGUUGAAUGAGCAGGGGGGAAGCUCAGUGGUUGGUUGACUGUACAGAAUGUACUGUACUAGUUUACAAACUGUUUUUUUUUCAAUAAAAGGGUGUGACUAACCGAGAGGAACACUUCUGGGUCCUAAAGUUAGUCCUGUUAAAACUUGUUUUUUAAGCAAGCUCAUGUUUCUCUCCACUUUGUGUCUCUUG
Oncorhynchus keta (chum salmon) is the source of this 1904-nucleotide long non-coding RNA. RefSeq lists it as uncharacterized. The record is from RefSeq and is a predicted model, not a curated record. Lineage: Eukaryota; Metazoa; Chordata; Actinopteri; Salmoniformes; Salmonidae. The transcript is spliced from 3 exons.